This 4736-nucleotide long non-coding RNA is filed under the name Homo sapiens (human). RNAcentral's name for it is "HSALNT0157378". The record is from RNAcentral. Lineage: Eukaryota; Metazoa; Chordata; Mammalia; Primates; Hominidae.
GUGAUUGUGACAUUAUCUGAGGCAGGUUUGGAAGAGGAUCCUGGGCAGUGUGACUGCUGGUUCCUGUCUGCUCGGUGAAUGCCGACCCUCACAUGGUGCCCUCCCUCUGUCUCUGCUCUGGGCUGGUUCUGUACUCCCCACCCUGGCUCUGCUUCCCUGGCUAAAGCCCACCCUCUGCUUAACUUGUCUGCACUCUAGGUGCUUGCCGGGGCCCUCCCCCAACCCUAGCUGCCUCUUCAGACAGACAACUUCCAAGGCAUCCUGUAAAAUAAAGACCAUGAAGGAAAGAAACCUGGCCCAAGGCAGUGAAGCUUUCUAAUUCUCUUUCUCCUCUAUUGGGAGAUGAGAUGAGAGGACGUUUGGGUGGGGAAGAAAGGGAUAACCUGUGAGACAUAGGCCAUCUGUGACUCAGGAAACCGUGGAAACCCACCCUCCCUCUAGCUAAGGUACACAAAACCACUGGGAAUGUACCCAAUUAUGACCCAGAGAAAGUGACGACGGGGACAGGGCCUGGGGAAUGUGUAAGAGUUAAAGAAAGAAGAAAGGAAACAUGAAAAGUGGCUUCACAGUCAAAGACAGGUUUAUUUUGGAAAAUAAACCUGAGAGGGGCUUCUGGCUGAUUUCGGUCAGGAGCACUCUCUUACAGACUAAGGGUAUUUAAGGGUUUAGGGAGGGGAGCUUAUCGCAGGCUCGGAAUGUUUCUGUGUGAGGGAAAGUUUAUUGCAGGGUUGGAAUGCCUCUGUUUGGAGACGAGGUUAUCUCAGGGUUGGCAUGUUUCUGGUCAGAGGGGGGGUUUAUCUCAGGGUUGGAAUGUUUCUGGUCAUGCUGACAUUAGCCAUUAGGCUGAUGUUUUGGGGCUGGAUUUAGGUGGUUUUUAAUCAAGGAGAACUUAAAAUGGUGGCGUUUGUCCAAGAUGGUGAUGCUCCUGCUCUAUCAGAAUGUGGUUAAACAUGCAGUGGAAUGAAGGCAAGGCCAGACGUAUACUGACACAGUGCGGAUCAAAAGUUCAGAGACUUUGGGGCCAAGGUGCAGGGCUGGGGAUGGGCAGGUGUCCAUGGAUACCCCGACACUGGAUCCAACUCUGCUACUGCUCACCUGAUACACGGGGUCCCAACAGGAAACAUCAGAGGGGCACAAUUAUAAGACAAAUCCACCCUUUUUCUGGGGUCUUGGGCCUUACGUGUUCUGGUUGACAGGGCAAAAUCCCAGGGGCUCUGGAGCCCCAGAUACUGGAGCUAUUCGUUCCUUCUUUACCCCUCAUUACAUGCAGUUACCUGUGGCUGACAUGACUGGCCACCAUUCCACCCCAGUUUAAUCCAACAUACAUAGUCACACUCAUCUGUAAACUUCCCAAAGGUGGGACCUUACGACCGACUUUGCUUCCCUCAUCUGAAUAUAUUAAUAAUUAAUAAUUUCUGACACAGAGUGAAAUGCUCAAUAAAUGUUUGUUGAACCAAACUAAACAACACCCAAGUGCUGUUAGUGCACCUGCAGAAGGGGAUUGAUGAUUAUCCUCCAGGAAGUAGCCAGUGCUUUGUGAGCACAGGCUCGGUCACAGGGAGCUUCUAUUCUGCAUGCUCCACUCCCCAGACUGGAAGGGGGCGAUGGAGGAGGAGGGUGGACACAGGAUACUGGAGGAGAGCAAGGAAGGCAGGCGGAUGAACCAGGAAGCUGCAUGAUGGGUUGCCCAGGCAGGGCAGGCAAUGGAGGAAGAGGGUGGAGACAGCCCCUGCCCCGGGGUCUCACAGGACAGUGGAGGAGAGGAAGGAAGGCAGGCAGAUGAACCCAGAAGCAGCAUGAUGGGUCGCCCAGGCAGGGCAGGCAAUGGAGGAAGAGGGUGGAGACAGCCCCUGCCCCGGAGUCUCACAGGACACUGGAGGAGAGGAGGGAAGGCAGGCAGAUGAACCCAGAAGCAGCAUGAUGGGUCGCCCAGGCAGGGCAGGCAAUGGAGGAAGAGGGUGGAGACAGCCCCUGCCCCGGAGUCUCACAGGACACUGGAGGAGAGGAGGGAAGGCAGGCGGAGGAACUACUGGAAGCAGCAUGAUGGGUUGCCCAGAUGGGGCAGGGCCCAGCAGGAGCUACCCCUGCAGAUGUGGGCAUAGGCGAGUUCACCAGGCUCUGAAAGUUGGGCUGGGAUUGCCCGGAUCUUAGAGACAAAGGCGUUGUAUUCCAGCCUCAUCGUUCUGCAGCUGGAGACGCGCUGAGAAUUCAGACUAAAGUGACCGGGGCCGGCAGUGGGGCUCCAGGCUCCUUCCAGGGAAGAGGGAUCACCCCGCUCCCACUGUCUGAAUCGUGUUUCUGUGCACGUUUUAGUCAGUUUGGUUUUUUCGUUUUUUAGAUGUCGCGUGGGGACCCCCAUUUUCUGUCCCUGUGCCUGGCUCCGGCCUUCCCCCAGCUCAUAGACAGGACGGGGAUGUGAGCAGCAGAGGAGCCCGGGGCAGGCCAGGAAGGACUCCCAUCCCCGUUUAUUUAGCAGGUGUGGAAUGAUUCGGUCUUUUCAUUGUAAUGCAGAUUUACAGUGCAAUAGGCAAUCUAUUUUUCAAUUUGGUAUACUGCCGCUGAUAAAUUAACAGAUGUCGAUUGACUUUUUCCCUCCAGUCCCCUGUGUUACACCUGACAGGCCUACUUUAUAGCUGAGCAGUUAUUUGAAGUUAUAAACAUUAUAAUUAGCAAUUUUUUAAUUAGGCUGACAAUUAACAGGAGAUUUGCAAAGCUGCUAAUUUGACAUGUCAUACUCUCCGUAGUGCUUAUGUUAACCACAACUUGAGUGAAUUCAAUUGAACAGAACCACAGUGUCUGGGAAAAAAUCAAUCUCAGAAGAACCCUUUCUCCCCACUUGGCUGGCUUCAUGGCACUUGGACAGAGAAGUGGAAAUUCAGAGAUUUUGCAGGAUAACAAUACUGACAGCUGAACCCCAAACAAUAGCAGCCUCCGCGAGACUAGCUCAGAGCACACGACACAAAGGCAGGUCCUGCUAAUUGCAUCUGAGGCUCUUGCUUCAAAGUCUUGACGACCUAAGGCAGGUUGGAGGCUCUGUUCUGAUGCCAGUUGCUCCUUAGACCUCAUCGCCAAGGAGACCUCCUGAUGCAGACACCAGCAAGGGCUGUCGUGACAGAGGCUUGUCCUGUAUGGCUGGGAGCUUCCCCUGCACCACUGGGUCCUGUGCUGAUGCCAAUGGAGUGAGAGAGAGAUAGAGAGACAGAGAGAAUCAGAGACAGAGAGAGACGCGAAUCAGGCAGAAUCAGAUAGAGACAGAAAAAGAGACAGACAGAAUCAGACAGAGACAGAGAGAGAAAAGAGAUACACAGAGAGAGAAAAACAGAGAGAAUCAGACAGAGACAGUAUCAGAUAGAGACAGAGAAAGACAAGAGAUACACAGAGAGACAGAGAAAAACAGAGAGAAUCAGAGAAUCAGAUAGAGACAGAGAGAGACAGAAUCAGAUAGAGAGAGACAGAAGAGCUACAUAGAGAGAGAGACAGAGAAAAACAGAGAGAAUCAGACAGAGAGACAUACAGAGAGAGAGAGAAUCAGAUAGAGACAGAGAGAGACAGAAAAAGACAAUCAGAUAGAGAUAGAGAGACACAGAGAGAGACAGGGAGAAUAAGAUACAGAGAGAGAGAGAGACAGCAUCAGACAGAAUCAGAUAGAGACAGAGAGAGAGAAUCAGACAGAGAGACACAGAGACACAGAGAGAGACAGUAGAGACAGAAGAGAUACACAGACACACACAGGAUCAGAUAAGAGACAGAGAGACACAGAAAGAGAGAGAGAGACUGAGAUAGAGAGAGACUGAGGCAGACACAGACAGAGAAUCAGAUAAAGAGAGACAGAGAAUCAGAUAAAGAGAGACAGAGACGGGGAGAAACAGAACCAGAGAGAAACUGAGAGCAGAGAGAAAGAGAGAGAAUCAGAGACAGAGAUAGAGAGGGAGAGACAGGAGAGAAAGACCGGGAGGGAGGCUGCCCUUCCACCUCCAGGGAGUUCAUCCCAUCCAUGCCUCCCAGCAAAGGAAGCUCUCACCAUGGCCCCUGGCUCUCGGAUUCCAGCACCCUGCGCUCGGCUUAGAGGACAUACUGCAUUUACAUCCUUGGACCUUGGAAGGCUUCUGAGGUCUGUUACUUGGUAACCGCCUGCAGCACAGGAGAUGCUGCCUUCUGUUGGAGGCCUCGAGAGACUCCAGAAAUGGGAGACCUUCAGGAAACCGUGGCUUCAGAGGGGAGAGAGAUGGCUAAAUCUCACUUCCUGUGUGCAAUGAGCAAGCCAUUAAUUAGAAUUUGCAGUACUACAAGAAGCAACGUACUGAAGUUGAGCUGUGCCAUUGAGCUUUGCUUAAUAACUUUUUGCUGCUUUCAUACUUUUUUGAAAAUCUAGAUCAGAAGAAAUUGGCCACCUGGAGACUCUGAAUCUGAAGACCUCUUUUCGAACUUUUCACAAGGCUGCAUGCUUUCUAUGGUGUACGUUGUGGAAAAAAAAAAUAGAAUUUGGCAUCACUGAGUUAAUCAGAAACCCUAAGUUUUAUGAGAACUUUUGUUAAACACCACACACACACACACACACACACACACAAAACACUAGAUGGGUACCACUGCUUUAGGAAGAGAGAGUUCCUUGAUUUUUCAACUUAAAGUAUCUUAUCUUUGAAGGAAUUUGCUUUGUUUUUUUCUGGCCCAUCCUAAUGCCUCUACUUCAUGGCAUGGAAAAAAAAUCCACAGCAUUCUCUGGGCAACAGGAUAAA